Molecule: ribosomal RNA, 431 nt
Filed under: uncultured bacterium
Lineage: Bacteria
Description: partial 16S ribosomal RNA
Rfam family: Bacterial small subunit ribosomal RNA
Source: RNAcentral
AACGAACGCUGGCGGCAGGCUUAACACAUGCAAGUCGAACGCCCCGCAAGGGGAGUGGCAGACGGGUGAGUACCGCGUGGGAACAUACCCUUUUCUACGGAAUAGCUCUGGGAAACUGGAAUUAAUACCGUAUACGCCCUACGGGGGAAAGAUUUAUCGGGGAAGGAUUGGCCCGCGUUGGAUUAGCUGGUUGGUGGGGUAAAGGCCUACCAAGGCGACGAUCCAUAGCUGGUCUGAGAGGAUGAUCAGCCACAUUGGGACUGAGACACGGCCCAAACUCCUACGGGAGGCAGCAGUGGGGAAUAUUGGACAAUGGGCGCAAGCCUGAUCCAGCCAUGCCGCGUGAGUGAUGAAGGCCUUAGGGUUGUAAAGCUCUUUAACCGAUGAAGAUAAUGACGGUAGUCGGAGAAGAAGCCCCGGCUAACUUCGUG